AGAAUCAACGCUGGCGGCGUGCCUAACACAUGCAAGUCGCACGAGAAAGGGACUUCGGUCCUGAGUACAGUGGCGCACGGGUGAGUAACACGUGAAUCAUCUACCUCCGAGUGGGGAAUAACUGAGAGAAAUCUUAGCUAAUACCGCAUAACACUUAUGAGUCAAAGCAGCAAUGCGCUUGGAGAGGAGUUCGCGGCAGAUUAGUUAGUUGGCAGGGUAAUGGCCUACCAAGACGAUGAUCUGUA
RNAcentral lists this ribosomal RNA (245 nucleotides) under uncultured bacterium. RNAcentral describes it as "partial small subunit ribosomal RNA". It matches the Rfam family "Bacterial small subunit ribosomal RNA", at positions 26 to 285 of the family's 1533-position model. The record is from RNAcentral.